Molecule: long non-coding RNA, 449 nt
Filed under: Mytilus galloprovincialis (Mediterranean mussel)
Lineage: Eukaryota; Metazoa; Mollusca; Bivalvia; Mytilida; Mytilidae
Source: RNAcentral
CUAACAAAAAAUGUUAUAACCCCGUGGUGCAGCGCAAUCUCGACAGCGCCGUGGAAUUGAUCAUCCCGGACGUUUAAUAUGAUCCCGAGGAAUGUUAUUCCACUUGUACGGCAAAGCAAACUCAAGCUGACUUUAUGAUAUUGGAGGUGGUUUUCAUCGUCUAAAACAUGUCAAAUCUGAUGCAAAAUUUGGUCGAUCGGACCAAAAUCCGGCGAAAAGCAUGACUUUUAGCCAAGGCGGGUGUCAAAUGUCUAUGUAACCACCAUUGCGUUUUUUGUACAUAAUGAAUGGUUUUUGGUCUACAGAAUUCGAUAUUUACGCCAGACGGCCGUUUAAAUGUCACUAAGGAAAGACUGUGGUGCUCUUAAACAAUUUCUGCGCAAAUGGUGCUUUCAACUGAAUUGCUCCAAAGGUUCUACCGUGACCACCAUUGAACUCUUUGACCUUUG